GACGUAGGGUGCGAGCGUUGUCCGGAUUUAUUGGGCGUAAAGAGCUCGUAGGCGGCUCGUCGCGUCGACCGUGAAAACCCGCGGCUUAACUGCGGGCUUGCGGUUGAUACGGGCGGGCUAGAGUUCGGUAGGGGAGACUGGAAUUCCUGGUGUAGCGGUGAAAUGCGCAGAUAUCGGGAGGAACACCAAUGGCGAAGGCAGCUCGCUGGGACGGUACUGACGCUGAGACGCGAAAGCGUGGGGAGCAAACAGG
This 253-nucleotide ribosomal RNA is filed under the name uncultured bacterium. RNAcentral's name for it is "partial 16S ribosomal RNA". It matches the Rfam family "Bacterial small subunit ribosomal RNA", at positions 524 to 776 of the family's 1533-position model. The record is from RNAcentral.